CACCUGGAAACAGAUGCUAAUACCGGAUACAACAGAUGAUGCUAUCAACUGUUUAAAGUAUGGUUCUGCUAUCACUCUUGGAUGGACCUGCGGUGCAUUAGCUAGUUGGUAGGGUAACGGCCUACCAAGGCGAUGAUGCAUAGCCGAGUUGAGAGACUGAUCGGCCACAUUGGGACUGAGACACGGCCCAAACUCCUACGGGAGGCAGCAGUAGGGAAUCUUCCACAAUGGACGCAAGUCUGAUGGAGCAACGCCGCAUGAGUGAAGAAGGGUUUCGGCUCGUAAAGCUCUGUUGUUGGUGAAGAAGGACAGGGGUAGUAACUGACCUUUGUUUGACGGUAAUCAAUUAGAAAGUCACGGGCUAACUACGUGCCAGCAGCCGCGGUAAAU
This 390-nucleotide ribosomal RNA is filed under the name uncultured Lactobacillus sp. RNAcentral describes it as "bacterial SSU rRNA". It matches the Rfam family "Bacterial small subunit ribosomal RNA", at positions 147 to 525 of the family's 1533-position model. The record is from RNAcentral. Lineage: Bacteria; Bacillati; Bacillota; Bacilli; Lactobacillales; Lactobacillaceae.